Molecule: ribosomal RNA, 253 nt
Filed under: uncultured bacterium
Lineage: Bacteria
Description: partial 16S ribosomal RNA
Rfam family: Bacterial small subunit ribosomal RNA
Source: RNAcentral
UACGAAGGGGGCUAGCGUUGUUCGGAAUUACUGGGCGUAAAGCGCGCGCAGGCGGUUCUUUAAGUCAGGGGUGAAAGCCCAGAGCUCAACUCUGGAAUUGCCCUUGAAACUGCAGAACUUGAGUACGGGAGAGGUGAGUGGAAUUCCCAGUGUAGAGGUGAAAUGCGUAGAUAUGGGGAAGAACACCGGUGGCGAAGGCGGCUCACUGGACCGUUACUGACGCUCAGGCGCGACAGCGUGGGGAUCAAACAGG